This 581-nucleotide ribosomal RNA is filed under the name uncultured Gammaproteobacteria bacterium. RNAcentral describes it as "bacterial SSU rRNA". It matches the Rfam family "Bacterial small subunit ribosomal RNA", at positions 346 to 919 of the family's 1533-position model. Lineage: Bacteria; Pseudomonadati; Pseudomonadota; Gammaproteobacteria. The record is from RNAcentral.
AGGCAGCAGUGGGGAAUAUUGGACAAUGGGGGCAACCCUGAUCCAGCCAUGCCGCGUGGGUGAAGAAGGCCUUCGGGUUGUAAAGCCCUUUUGGCGGGGAGGAAGGGUGUGAGGCGAAUAGUCUUGCACUUUGACGUUACCCGCAGAAUAAGCACCGGCAAACUCCGUGCCAGCAGCCGCGGUAAUACGGAGGGUGCGAGCGUUAAUCGGAAUUACUGGGCGUAAAGCGCAUGCAGGCGGUCUGUUAAGUCAGAUGUGAAAUCCCCGGGCUUAACCUGGGAACUGCAUUUGAAACUGGCAGACUGGAGUCCUGGAGAGGGGGGUAGAAUUUCCGGUGUAGCGGUGAAAUGCGUAGAUAUCGGAAGGAAUACCAGUGGCGAAGGCGGCCCCCUGGCCAGAGACUGACGCUCAGAUGCGAAAGCGUGGGGAGCAAACAGGAUUAGAUACCCUGGUAGUCCACGCUGUAAACGAUGUCAACUAGCUGCUUGUGUCUUCGUGACGUGGGUAGCGCAGCUAACGCACUAAGUUGACCGCCUGGGGAGUACGGCCGCAAGGUUAAAACUCAAAUGAAUUGACGGGGG